RNAcentral lists this ribosomal RNA (241 nucleotides) under Salmonella enterica subsp. enterica serovar Infantis. RNAcentral describes it as "partial 16S ribosomal RNA". It matches the Rfam family "Bacterial small subunit ribosomal RNA", at positions 1305 to 1533 of the family's 1533-position model. The record is from RNAcentral. Lineage: Bacteria; Pseudomonadati; Pseudomonadota; Gammaproteobacteria; Enterobacterales; Enterobacteriaceae.
CUGCAACUCGACUCCAUGAAGUCGGAAUCGCUAGUAAUCGUGGAUCAGAAUGCCACGGUGAAUACGUUCCCGGGCCUUGUACACACCGCCCGUCACACCAUGGGAGUGGGUUGCAAAAGAAGUAGGUAGCUUAACCUUCGGGAGGGCGCUUACCACUUUGUGAUUCAUGACUGGGGUGAAGUCGUAACAAGGUAACCGUAGGGGAACCUGCGGUUGGAUCACCUCCUUACCUGAAAGAAGC